CAGAGACUGCGAGCGUUAUUCGGAUUCACUGGGCGUAAAGGGUGCGCAGGCGGCCGAGUGUGUGAGGCGUGAAAGCCCGGGGCUUAACCCCGGAAUUGCACCUCAAACUACACGGCUAGAGCAUUGGAGAGGGUAGCAGAAUUCAUGGUGUAGCAGUGAAAUGCGUAGAUAUCAUGAGGAAUACCAGAGGCGAAGGCGGCUACCUGGACAAUUGCUGACGCUCAGGCACGAAAGCGUGGGGAGCAAAAGGGAUUAGAUACCCCUGUAGUCCACGCCCUAAACGGUGCACACUAGGUCUUGGCGGAUUCGACCCCCCAGGGCCCCAGCUAACGCGUUAAGUGUGCCGCCUGAGGACUACGGCCGCAAGGCUA
Molecule: ribosomal RNA, 371 nt
Filed under: uncultured organism
Description: bacterial SSU rRNA
Rfam family: Bacterial small subunit ribosomal RNA
Source: RNAcentral